Molecule: non-coding RNA, 930 nt
Organism: Leptonychotes weddellii (Weddell seal)
Lineage: Eukaryota; Metazoa; Chordata; Mammalia; Carnivora; Phocidae
Source: RefSeq, a predicted model, not a curated record
CCAUCAUCCUGGCAGAGUCGCUUGUUAGAGCAGCGAAGAUCUGUAAAAGCAAGAGCACCGCUACGUUUUGUCAGAGCGAGGGUACUGAAGGAUACCGGAAAGAUCGUUGAUGGCUGUUACAUUUUUGCAGAGGACCGGACUGCUCUUUUGGGUCAGAGAAGGCCAUCAGCAAGCCUCAUCCUUGUCCCUUGGACUCCGCCACUCCCGCGGAGCUUGCUCGCCCGCAGCCUGCGGCAGGGAGGCCCCAGCGCCCGUAGGUGGCGCCCCACGUCCGUGCUUGCGCUUCUCGCCCGCGCUCUGGGCGCAGCUGGGAAACCAGCGCGUCUCCCCAGGUCGUUAGAGCUCAGAGUAGGCAUUUUAAUAAAUAAGCGCGUGUGCCAAUGCGCUCCAGGAGCCCCGAGGUUCAGAGGCGCACAAACAUAAACCCAGGCGGAGGCGCCUCUUUAAUCCCUGCCAAAAUCUGACAUUUCCCAAACUGAAGAUUCCGGAACUACAGCAUUUAAGCCAUUAAAAUCCCAAGCUUUUUCUCUCCAGUCCAUUCCUUUCAUUUUUAUUUUUAAAGAAAACUGCUUUACCCCUUAAUUAUGAAAGUAGUCACGCUAUUAAGGAUUAAGACUUGGAGGGAAUUUGGAAAAGAAAAGAAAGAAUCGAAAAGAAGAGGCGCGACCGGUGCUUUGAGGGUGCCUAAUUAUUAAAAGCGAGGCGUCUGGGAGGAAUUCGCCCUGGGUGUUUGGAACAACUUCGCGGACAGCACUGCUCGCUCAUCAUGGAUGUUCCAGGUCCGCUGGAGCCUUUCUUCUGAGGACGACCCUGGCCUUGACCGUCAGAGCAGGGGACCGAGGCCAAAGGAGGCUUCCCCAGGCCCCGCGCAGCCCUGCGCGCCCUCCGGCGCUCCUCCAGCCCCUGUCCGCCGUCGCCCCCGCGCGCCGC